AACGAAGCUUAAGCUCUUUAACCCUGAUUUGGCCUACUGCAAUGUACAGGGUGGGUAUUUCCCGACCCCCACCCCAGGGCUAUCCGAAUUUGAGAGCCACAAUGCAAUUUUAUUUUUAUAUUACGCCAUUUCACUUGUAGAAUCUAGCCUAGUCUCAAACCCAAAGUUUUAAGGCGCGAUUAUAUGAAUCUAUUCGCUCACAUCCGGUACGGCUUUCUUUAACGUUUGGUAUUUUGCAUUUUUAAUUUAAAGUCACUUUUUCCAAACAAGUCGUGGACUCCGACAACGAAAUCAAACGUUGGGUCUACCGGAUAGAUCUAAUAGCAGCUGUACACGGAUAGGAUUGCCGAGAAUAAAUGACAGAAAAUGAACUCUAUGGGAAUCACAAGAUGGGGGAAAGCAACGAUUACUCUACCAUUGAAAUGCCCUUGACCUUUGAGACAUCUGCCUAAAGGUCACCACCAGCAAUAUCGG
Long non-coding RNA from Aplysia californica (California sea hare), 474 nucleotides. RefSeq lists it as uncharacterized. The transcript has 2 exons. The record is from RefSeq and is a predicted model, not a curated record. NCBI's taxonomy places the organism in Eukaryota, Metazoa, Mollusca, Gastropoda, Aplysiida, Aplysiidae.